ACGUACACUCCUGCGGGAGGCAGCAGUGGGGAAUAUUGCACAAUGGGCGCAAGCCUGAUGCAGCCAUGCCGCGUGUAUGAAGAAGGCCUUCGGGUUGUAAAGUACUUUCAGCGGGGAGGAAGGCAAUACGGUUAAUAACCGUGUUGAUUGACGUUACCCGCAGAAGAAGCACCGGCUAACUCCGUGCCAGCAGCCGCGGUAAUACGGAGGGUGCAAGCGUUAAUCGGAAUUACUGGGCGUAAAGCGCACGCAGGCGGUCUGUCAAGUCGGAUGUGAAAUCCCCGGGCUCAACCUGGGAACUGCAUUCGAAACUGGCAGGCUUGAGUCUUGUAGAGGGGGGUAGAAUUCCAGGUGUAGCGGUGAAAUGCGUAGAGAUCUGGAGGAAUACCGGUGGCGAAGGCGGCCCCCUGGACAAAGACUGACGCUCAGGUGCGAAAGCGUGGGGAGCAAACAGGAUUAGAUACCCGUGUAGUCCC
RNAcentral lists this ribosomal RNA (476 nucleotides) under uncultured organism. RNAcentral describes it as "partial 16S ribosomal RNA". It matches the Rfam family "Bacterial small subunit ribosomal RNA", at positions 329 to 797 of the family's 1533-position model. The record is from RNAcentral.